GGGGUUGUGGCUCAGCGGUAGGGCACUCACUUAGCAAGUGCAAGGCACUGAGUUCCAUCCUCAGCACCACA
RNAcentral lists this transfer RNA (71 nucleotides) under Marmota monax (woodchuck). RNAcentral describes it as "tRNA.Ala". Lineage: Eukaryota; Metazoa; Chordata; Mammalia; Rodentia; Sciuridae. The record is from RNAcentral.